AACUUUUUCUUUCGAGAAUCAUCAAAAGUUUCGCGGAAUAAUCUCGUUUCGAAGCAAAGGUAAAGAGUUUUGCUUGAGAAAGACUACAAUGGAAGAAAAGUUCAAGCCAACCGAAGUUUUGGUUCUAGCCAAUCAAAAUAUUGGAAGCUACAACCUUUCCCACAGAGUUUGAUCUAUCAAAAACACCAUGGCAGGUUUGUAUAUAAAUCUAGAACUUGGGAGCUACAUCGUCGUCUUGGGCGCUAGAAGCAAGCGUCUAGCAAACAACAGCAACACAAGGCCGCCAAACUGGAAGAAAAAAAAAGGAUCAAACAAAGAAAAAAUGCAAAAAAAAAAAAGGGAAGAGCUUCGAGCGAAGCGAGGCUCCAGAAACUAUAAAUUUACCAUCCCUCGAUGAACGAUGGGCCUUUGUUGUUUUGAUGAUACUGCUCCUGGUUAUAUCCCGGCUGUUGGACUGGAUAGCCCGCUGGAGGAUAGCCUUGCGGAGGAUAUCCCUGGGGAGGAUAGCCUUGCGGAGGAUAGCCCUGGGCGGGAUACGCUUCAUACCCUGCCAAAACACCCCAGAUCUCUCAGAUAUCCAGGAUUUCUCCGCGAUCAGGGUAAAAUCGUCGCAAAGAUCUCGCGAUUUCUCGCGGCGCUUACCUUGAGCAUAGCCUUGCGGCGGCGGCGCUUGCACUGGCGGCUUCUGAUCGUAGUAGCUCAUCCUCUCCUCCGCCAAGAAAUCGAAUCGAUCGAAAGCAAAACGAACGAGUAAGUGGUGCGUGUACCCGUUAUAAAAGGGGCCAAAAACGCGGAAUGGCUAUUCCUAGGCUUGACGGACGGUCGAGAUUCGCGGAGGCCACUAAUCGACGGCUUCCCGGAAGCUGGCCUUAAGACUGGGGUUUAUGGGGUUUAGGGCUGACGAUGCCCCUGUUUUUUAGGGUUCUUGAGGAUGAGGAAGCUCUGGCGAUGGCGACGCGCCGGCUUGCGCCAGGUUCGUGCUCGAUUUGUCGCGGAUUUUGAUUGAUUCUCGUGGUUUCAGGGAGAAUGCCGUGGCGCGGGUUGUUUGUUUCGAGCAUAUCGACGCAAUGCGGGUCUUCCAGUGAUUUGUUCGAUGUCUCGGCAUUGCUGCGGCUAGGAGGAGCAAAGGCGGCGCUGGAUUAUCUCGAUUCCAGGCAAGGUCGAGAUGGUUUCUUGGAUUCUUCCACGCUCGCGAGGUUGCUGCUGGAUUGUGGAAGAUCCAGCGCUCUCGCGGAGGGCCGGCGCGUCCACGAGUACGUUGUGAGAUCCAGGUUUGUCCGCGACGCGUUCCUUGGCAAUCACCUCGUCCAUAUGUAUCUCAAGUGCCAGAGCUUCGACGAGGCCGAGAGGGUUUUCCAGAGCGCUGCUUGUGAGAGCUUUGAUGUUGCAACGUGGACAGCAGUGAUCGUCGCUAGAGCGGGGCUCGGGAAAUGGAAGUUGGUGUUUGGUCAGCUGGAUGAGAUGGAUCGGAGAGGGAUUCCACCGGACAGGGUCAUGAUCAAGACGUUGCUCACUGCUUGUACCAAGCUCGGUGCUCUGGAAGAAGGGAAACUUAUCCAGGAUCGUCUAGCAGGAACCCAGCUCGAGCUCGAUAUUGGUGUGCGCAACCUCACGAUCAACAUGUACGUGAAGUGUGGUUGCCUAGAUGGAGCAGUGCAAACUUUCGCGAGGAUGAAGCGACGGGAUGUGGUCUCCUGGACUGUGAUGAUCGGAGCUUACUCACAGGAUGGGAAGUUCAGCCUCUCGCUCCAGCUCUUCCGGGAAAUGCUGCUCGAAGGGACUGCUCCAAACAGUGUCACCUUUGUCAGUAUCUUGAGCGGCUGCGAAGCACCAUCUUUACUCGAGCAAGGGAGGCAGAUUCACGCUCUAGUGGUGGAGAGCAGUCUCGAGUCACACGUCGUUGUAGCGAAUUCUCUGCUGGGGAUGUAUAGCAGAUGCCGCAGCUGGGAGGAUUCGAGAAGUUUGUUCGACAGAAUGAGCGUCCGAGACUCGGUUUCAUGGUCGACGAUCAUCAUGGCCUACGAGGAGUUUACCGGAGUUACACGAACUACGGGAAUAUUCCGAGAAUAUUCCAUGGCCUAGCUCUCCUGUUCGCUUCAUCGGUGAUGGCGGGUGAGUAAGAUAUUGAUCUUCAUGAGGAGUAUGGUGUUAGUGAUAAUGGCCAUGAUGAUGUGGAAGAGACUCUUAAUGAUGUCAUUGUGUGUUAGAUUUCUGAGGUUCAGAGCGACGUAACAAGUUCGUGAUUACCAUUGGUAUGUCAAGUAUGCCAAGGAUUAUAGUAUCGUGGAAUGGAAAUCAUCACCGGAUGUUUGUAAUAGUCAAUAGGUUGAUUCUUGGUUAGAAUUGUGAGAAAGUUGUUAGUCUCACAAUCCUUGUGAGGAUAAGGUGAAGAUAGAUUUCUUUGUGAUGAAGUUUACGGGCUAUGCUUAUUCGUGGUGAAAGAACUACAUUAAAGUUAAUUCGAAGCCGACUUCUUAGACUGAUUUGACAAAGGUUUUCUACACUUCGUUUGUCAAAAAGUUUGAAGAAGUUAAUCUCGUGAACUAGCUAUUAAAAAUUUAACAAAGGACUUUGUCUUUGAAUGCAUAUGCCCGCAAGUUCUAUGAUCUUUGCCUUAAUCUCAUGGGCACCUAUAAUGAGCUGUUAAAAGUGCAAUGUUUCAUCAAAAAAUUGAGCUUAGUGGAUAUGUAGCAAAAGGUCAAAAAGGAUUUUCCUACAACAUUGACUGAUGCAAUCACUAGGGCUCAGAUCUUUUCACCCAAACUGUCAGUCAACUUAGUCAACUCUAGUCAACAGGAUGGUCUAUGGGGAGGUCAACGUGAUAACCAAACCACCAAUACUUCAUCUUUAGAGAAGAAAUUCCUAUUAUUCUAUCAUAGCUUGAAGAGUGGAGAUGGUAAUGAGGCCAAAAGACAUUGUUUGGACUAAUGAGAGAAGGAUAAAGCAGAGGGCAAUUAUUUUCAUUGCCAUAGGGCUGAACAUUAGAGCAAAAAUUGUUCUGAAAGGGUCAAUGAAUGAAUGAAUGGCAACAUUAUCUAUAUGGAUCAGACUUCCAUGUGGAUUUAGAUCAUCAAUCUCUCUAAUAUUUCAGUCGACAAAAGGAUCUUCGAGACCGCCUUGCUCAUUGGCAAGAGUUCCUAUAGGAAAUGUUUGUUAAAAUCCAGUACAAGUAUAGAGGUGACAAUAAGGUGGCUGAUGUAUUAUCCAGGAUGGUAAAUUCUAUCUUGUUCAUAAAGUUAUCCAGCGAUCUCUUAGAUGAGCUUAAGGAGUUUGCUGACUUCGACUCCUUUAUCACUAAUAUUUGCGCGAAGGUUUUGUUGAGGGACGCCUCUACAAAUUUGAAGGGUAACAAGUUUGCAUCAUUCGAAAUACGAGAUGGAAUUCUAGUGAAGAAGGGACAUGUAGUGGUUUCUCGUGUUAACAAACUCAUCAAACAAAUUUUGGUUGAGUGUUAUGAUGUGCCAAGUGUUGGGCAUUCGGGGGUAUUGAGAAAGUAUAUUUUGGUGAAGAGGCAUUUCUUUUGGCCUGGGAAAGUCAGAUGUUGAGAAAUACAUACAUGGUUGUUUGACUUGCCAAGCAAUCAAAAAUUAAUCAUCAAAAGCUCGCUGGCCUCUAUCAUCCUUUACGUGUACCCGAGAAUAAAUGGGAUAGCAUCUCAAUGGACUUUAUCAUUGUUUUGCCCAAAACCUUUCAAAGAAAUGAUGCUAUUUGGGUUGUUGUGGAUCGUUUGACCAAGAUGGCUCACUUCUUCCCUGUGAAAAUGACGAUAAAAGCUUCUGAACUUGCUCAGUUGUUUGUAGACCGGUUAUUUAGUCUCUAUGGUUUGCCAGGUGACAUUGUGAAUGAUCAGGAUUCCAAGUUCACGUCCAAAUUUUGGCAAACAGUCUUUGAAAAGCUAGAGACUAAGUUGAGCAUGAGUAGUGGUGAGCAUCCACAAUCUAAUGGACAGACAGAACGCAUGAAUCAGCUAUUAGAAGAUAUGCUAAGGUUUUUUGUGGGAAACUUGACUCGACAGAGAGUAUGGGAGAAGUACUUACCUUUACUUCACUUUGCUCAUAAUAGCGCUCAUCAAUCAGCUAUUGGCAUGUCUCCCUUUAUAGCAAUAUAUGGCUAUGAGCCUAAGCCUCUUGUGAGUUUGAAUUUGGCUUUGGUUUGGGUACCUCAUGCUUGUGAUUUUCUAGAGGAUAUGCAAAACAAACUUGAGUUGGCAAAGUUGAACAUAAGGCAAGCUCAAUAACAAGACAAAAGAUUAGCUGAUGAGCAUCAUCGUCAUCAAGAGUACAAAGUUGGUAACAAGGUUUUCCUUAAGCUGUCAGAUGCACAACAGUUUCUGAAAGGAGGUGGCAGUGCUAAGUUGCCUCCAUAGUAUUGUGGAUCUUAGACAAUUUUACAGCGUGUAGGGGAUCUUGCAUACACUUUGGACUUGCUAGUUAAUUCAAAAAUUCAUCCAACAUUCCAUGUGAGUAAGCUUAAAGCGUGUUUGCACUCUGGUGAUAUUGUGGAUCAAUCCAUCAUCCAAGUCCCAAAGAUUGAUGCAAAGAAGGUUGGUCCAACCAAUAUUCUUGCUCAAAGAUUGGUGAAAACACGCCAGAAGACAACUAAAGAGUUGUUAGUUCAAUGGAAUGAUUAUUCCAUGGACGACGCUACAUGGGAAAUUGAGGAUGACAUGAAGAGAGUGUUUCCAAGUUUUGGUUAUAAUUUAGAUGACAUUUUUGAGGAAGGGGAAAAUUGAGUUUUAUAUCCGUAUUGCUAUAUAAUUUGAGCUGUUUGUUCUAUUUUCAUUCUUUUGUUUCUAUGAUUAUAUUGUCAUGUGAAAAAGCUAUAUUGCUUUCUUUCUUUCAUGGCCAUUUGCUGUGACAUUGGUGUUGCCAUUUGCACACCUUUUCUCCAUGGCCAUAUUGCCUUUUGACUCCCUUCAUGUGAGGCUCGUUUAACUUCUUAAGGCUGCCUUAUGUUGCUAGGUCAUCAGAACGACACAAACCACAAGAAUAUUCUGAGAAUAUUCCAUGACCUCUGGGAUUUAAAGCAGCUUGGGCUAGGGUUCACUCUCCUGUUCGUUUCAAUGACAGAUGAGGUAAAUAGGACCAACACGCUUCCAAAUCUUCGAUAAUCUUUCUCUAUCAUUUCAUAGGCUCCAGUUCAAAAGCAAGUGGUCUCUCUUUCCAAUUCCCUGAGCUGCUUAGAGCUGAGAAAAUGCAUCAAAGAAAAAGUCCCUCACGUCCUGUUAGACGUCCGUGACGAGCACCAGUACGCCAUCAGCGCGCUGCCACAGUCGACAAACAUUCCUCUCUCGCAACUCCAGAAGAACAGCCAAGAGCUCCGCGAUAUCAUACUCGACGACGAGAAGAUGCCAGUCUUUGUCAUCUGCUGGAGGGGGAAUAGCUCUCAGGAAGCUGUGGAGCUGCUCAGAAACUCUGGAGUUAACGCCUUGGAUGUCACAGGAGGACUUGAGGCGUGGUCCAGAGAGGUAGACUCCAAGUUUCCUUUGUACUAAAUCGUUUUUUCUCUACAGGAAAGCUCAAGGUCUUGGUUUUCUUAGAAACAAAGCACUUUUUCUUUCGAGAAUCAUCAAAAGUUUCGCCGUUAGGUAAAGAGUUUUGCUUGAGAAAGACUACAAUGGAAGAAAAGUUCAAGCCAACCAAUGGCUAGAACCAACGUAUUUUCCCACAGGGAGUUUGAUCUAUCAAAAACACCAUGGCGGUUGUAUAUAAAUCUAAGCUGCAUCGUCGUCUUGGGCGCUAGAAGCAAGCGCCUAGCAAACAACAGCAACACAAGGCCCCCAAACUGGAAGAAAAAAAAGGAUCAACAAAUGCAAAAAAAAAGGGAAGAGCUUCGAGCGAAGCGAGGCUCCAGAGAUUUUGGAACUAUAAAUUUACCAUCCCUGGAUGAACGACGGGCCUUUGUUGUUCUGAUGAUUCUCCUCCUGCUUAUAUCCCGGCUGUUGGACUGGAUAGCCCGCUGGAGGAUAGCCUUGCGGAGGACAUCCCUGGGGAGGAUAGCCUUGCGGAGGAUACGCUGAAACACCCCAGAUCUCUCAGAUAUCCAGGCAAAGAUCUCGCGAUUUCUCGCGGCGCUUACCUUGACCAUAGCCUUGCGGCGGCGGCGCUUGCACUGGCGGCUUCUGAUCGUAGUAGCUCAUCCUCUCCUGACUCGUUCGUUUUGCUUUCGAUCGUGGUGCGUGUACCCGUUAUAAAGGAGGCCAUAAACGCGGAAUGAUAUUUCCUAGGCUUGACGGACGGUCACUGCUUCGAUAGCAAUGGCUGAUGGAGCGUGGUCAAGACGGCUUCGGC
RNAcentral lists this long non-coding RNA (6290 nucleotides) under Selaginella moellendorffii. Its description in RNAcentral is "long non-coding RNA (SMOE_LNC000411)". Lineage: Eukaryota; Viridiplantae; Streptophyta; Lycopodiopsida; Selaginellales; Selaginellaceae. The record is from RNAcentral.